AUUUCUCUGAGGUAAACGCCCAGGAGGGCCACUGUUGGAUCAUGUGGUGGAUUCACAUUUCGGGUUAUAAGGAACCACCUAACCAUCUUCCUGAGUGACGUGCUGUUAGGUUCCCACCAGCAGCGUGGGAGUGAUUCAGUUCGUCUGCAUCCUAACCUGAGUUCUAUGCUGUCACAAUCGCUUAGAAUAGUCAUUGUGGUGAGUAUGCCGUGACAGAGCCUUGUGGCUUCAAUCUGCACUGCCCUGGCAGCUAAUUACGCUUUCAAUCCUUUCCCGGGCUCAUUUUCCAUCUAUCUACGCUUCUACGUGAAAGACUCAUUCAUGCCCAUUGCUCAUUUUCUGACAGAGAUUGGUGUCUGGUGUUUUUACUAUUGAGUUCGGAAAGUUCUUUAUAUAUUCUAGAUACUAGUCCUAUGUUGGAUACGUGGUUCCAAAUAUUCGUCCAAGUCUGAAGUUUAUCUUUUCAUCCUCUUCACAUGGUCCUUCCUGGUGUGAUCAGAAGGACACCUUGGAGUUGUUAUCGGGAUUCUGAACCAGAUUGGAACCUUUGAAGUGCUAUUUGGGUUCAGAAGUAUGACCAAUGAUCAAGGUCUACAAAGACCCAGUCAAAUAGUACAAGGCAACAGGGGCUAAUUUGUAUCGACAAACUGAGGAAGCUAACACCACCAAAGUUGUACAUUCCCGGCUAAACACCUAAGGAUGAUCCCUCCGCGUCUAAUUUGUUGUCUCUCUGAUGGUGGAUGAAGCGAUGAAAAUUCCUAAUUCCUUCUUUGGUCAUCUUAGCUGCUAAUCUACAAUGACUUCAGCAGUUAAGGGUUGAGAGUCAUCGUUUCAUUAAAAGAUAAUAUUAUUCUCUUUA
Leopardus geoffroyi (Geoffroy's cat) is the source of this 859-nucleotide long non-coding RNA. RefSeq lists it as uncharacterized. Lineage: Eukaryota; Metazoa; Chordata; Mammalia; Carnivora; Felidae. The transcript has 2 exons. The record is from RefSeq and is a predicted model, not a curated record.